GACGAACGUUGGCGGCGUGCUUAACACAUGCAAGUCGAACGGAAAGGCCCUGCUUUUGUGGGGUGCUCGAGUGGCGAACGGGUGAGUAACACGUGAGUAGCCUGCCCUUGACUUUGGGAUAACUUCAGGAAACUGGGGCUAAUACCGGAUAGGAGCUCCUGCUGCAUGGUGGGGGUUGGAAAGUUUCGGCGGUUGGGGAUGGACUCGCGGCUUAUCAGCUUGUUGGUGGGGUAGUGGCUUACCAAGGCUUUGACGGGUAGCCGGCCUGAGAGGGUGACCGGCCACAUUGGGACUGAGAUACGGCCCAGACUCCUACGGGAGGCAGCAGUGGGGAAUAUUGCACAAUGGGCGGAAGCCUGAUGCAGCAACGCCGCGUGCGGGAUGACGGCCUUCGGGUUGUAAACCGCUUUCGCCUGUGACGAAGCGUGAGUGACGGUAAUGGGUAAAGAAGCACCGGCUAACUACGUGCCAGCAGCCGCGGUGAUACGUAGGGUGCGAGCGUUGUCCGGAUUUAUUGGGCGUAAAGGGCUCGUAGGUGGUUGAUCGCGUCGGAAGUGUAAUCUUGGGGCUUAACCCUGAGCGUGCUUUCGAUACGGGUUGACUUGAGGAAGGUAGGGGAGAAUGGAAUUCCUGGUGGAGCGGUGGAAUGCGCAGAUAUCAGGAGGAACACCAGUGGCGAAGGCGGUUCUCUGGGCCUUUCCUGACGCUGAGGAGCGAAAGCGUGGGGAGCGAACAGGCUUAGAUACCCUGGUAGUCCACGCUGUAAACGGUGGGUACUAGGUGUGGGGUCCAUUCCACGGGUUCCGUGCCGUAGCUAACGCUUUAAGUACCCCGCCUGGGGAGUACGGCCGCAAGGCUAAAACUCAAAGGAAUUGACGGGGCCCCGCACAAGCGGCGGAGCAUGCGGAUUAAUUCGAUGCAACGCGUAGAACCUUACCUGGGUUUGACAUGGAUCGGGAGUGCUCAGAGAUGGGUGUGCCUCUUUUGGGGUCGGUUCACAGGUGGUGCAUGCCUGUCGUCAGCUCGUGUCGUGAGAUGUUGGGUUAAGUCCCGCAACGAGCGCAACCCUUGUUCACUGUUGCCAGCACGUUAUGGUGGGGACUCAGUGGAGACCGCCGGGGUCAACUCGGAGGAAGGUGGGGAUGACGUCAAGUCCUCAUGCCCCUUAUGUCCAGGGCUUCACGCAUGCUACAAUGGCUGGUACAGAGAGUGGCGAGCCUGUGAGGGUGAGCGAAUCUCGGAAAGCCGGUCUCAGUUCGGAUUGGGGUCUGCAACUCGACCUCAUGAAGUCGGAGUCGCUAGUAAUCGCAGAUCAGCAACGCUGCGGUGAAUACGUUCCCGGG
RNAcentral lists this ribosomal RNA (1343 nucleotides) under uncultured bacterium. Its description in RNAcentral is "16S ribosomal RNA". It matches the Rfam family "Bacterial small subunit ribosomal RNA", at positions 28 to 1378 of the family's 1533-position model. The record is from RNAcentral.